GGGUGUACCCUAUAACUUCUGCGUUAUGCCCCAGCCCUCCAGCAACCUGUAAAUCCAUUGAAUUUUGUAUGUUAACCAAAAUCUAGACUUUGCUGAAUAUUAUGUAAUAUGAAGACAACAUGCAGUGUUUAAGUGACCAAGUAGAAUUGGGUAAAAGUUACUGAAUUAGUGUUGGAAUAAAAUGACAAAAUUGUGAAUGAUUGAAAUAUUCCAAGAGCUUAACUUGCUUCAUCUAAACAUGUUUCAAUCACGUUUUAUAAACCCAAAAUGCACAGGUUUAUGAAUAUGAAUAAGUUGUUUCGAUAUAACACAGUUGUUUACGUUUCACCCAAAGCAAAAAAAUUGUGUGCAACCAAUGUACAGUACUGAAUUAAGUAAAUCCAACACGUUCUCUUUUUCAGUGCACCCUGUACACCUGAUGGCCAGUCCAGCUGUGGUCAAAUUGUAUUAAAAAAAUAACUUCUGCUUAUACUGUAGGGUCUUUCCCUUUGUCAGUACAUGGAAGAAAAAGAAAUUAAUGAGAAGCAAAACAUUUUUCUUAAUAAAAAAAAAAAAAAGAUUGUAUAUUUGCAUGAAGACCGUUCCAGCCAAUGGGGGUUUGUUGAUAAAAUUAUUCUCUGUGAUUGGUGGCUCCAUGGCCACCAGCACAGUGAGAAGAGGUUUAAAAAGGUCCCAGCACAGCAUUCACUGCAAGCUGAAUGACAGCAAUGGCUCAUCUGUUCCUCCUUCUCCUUCUGUGGGUUGGCUUUGCCAUGAUAAAUUGGUCAGUUGACAACCAGGAGCCGUACACCUUAACCUCAGAGGCCAGGACAUCCAGGGGCAGUGUGAACACGCACUUGCUUAAAUGGGACGCAAGACGGACUAUAGAGGGCCACCCCCUUGCCAGACAACCAAGUGCUGUCCCUGUCCACGGCCAGUGUGAGAAGGACACUCACUAAAGUCAACCCACACAAAGCUGCUGGACCAGACAAUAUACCUGGACGCGUGCUCGGAGCCCGUGCUGACCAGCUGACUGAUGUCCUAGCGGGCAUCUUUAACAUCUCCCUGAGUCAAGCUGUUGUGCCACAGUGCUUUAAAACCACCACCAUCAUACCUGUCCCCAGACCUUCCCAAAGCCUAAUUCCACAAUGAUUGCCUGAGCCUAUUCUUGUUAAAUGAUGAAAAACUCAAAGGCACGUUUGGGCAGUGGAUCUGUGUGAAAUCAGCAGCUUGCAAAACGAAAUCAAAAUGUGUGCUAUUGAUUCUAAAAAUAGAAAUCACAAUAAAGUUCAACAUUUACUAAAACCGCCAUUCAGUCAUCUGAGAGUCUUUACUCAUGAAAUUAUAAUGGUUAGAUGAAUGUAUAUGCAGUGAUUUACUGAUCAAUGAUAAAAGGGGAGAUUUAUGCAGUAACGAAGACUGUCAUGAAAAGUAUUUGGCAUCUGAUCUCCUGUAACCUGCGGAGCUAAGCUGUUUUACCAGCUCUGCUCUCUGAUUUUUCUUUUUUCUUUUAUGAAAAAACACAAGUUGUCAAAGUUAUUUGUUUGCAAAUGUAUUUCAGAAAUAUCGACAUACUUUUUUUAAUCAGCAGAAACUUUAUGUCAGUAGUGCAAAAACCUGCACUGAUCUGACCUCAUUUCUUCCUCAUCCUGAUUCCUGACCUGGGAAGGGAGAGAACUAUUUGUUUUUGUUUGUCUUCUUGUUUUAUUUAAUUCCUUGUGGGAUUUGGAUCCAACAUGUAAAGUAUGCAUAUUAUGCACACACACAAACACACAUGCAGCUAUUACCCAUUUCUUGUAUUCUUGAAUAAAGACAUUGAUUUGACACAUUUA
Molecule: long non-coding RNA, 1811 nt
Organism: Astatotilapia calliptera (eastern happy)
Lineage: Eukaryota; Metazoa; Chordata; Actinopteri; Cichliformes; Cichlidae
Source: Ensembl